Molecule: ribosomal RNA, 497 nt
Filed under: uncultured bacterium
Lineage: Bacteria
Description: partial 16S ribosomal RNA
Rfam family: Bacterial small subunit ribosomal RNA
Source: RNAcentral
GAUGAACGCUGGCGGCGUGCCUAAUACAUGCAAGUCGAGCGAACAGACGAUGAGCUUUCUCCCCUGACGUUAGCGGCGGACGGGUGAGUAACACGUGGAUCACCUACCUAUAAGUCUGGGAUAACUUCGGGAGACCGCAUCCAAUACUGGCUCAUAUAUCGUACCGCAUGGUUCAAUAGUUAAACACGGUUUUCCUGUCACUUAUAGAUGGAUCCGCGCCGCAUUAGCUAGUUGGUAAGGUAACGGCCUACCAAGGCUACGAUGCGUAGCCGACCUGAGAGGGUGAUCAGCCACACUGGAACUGAGACACGGUCCAGACUCCUACGGGAGGCAGCAGUAGGGAAUAUUCGGCAAUGGGCGAAAGCCUGACGCAGCAACGCCGCGUGAGUGAUGAAGGUCUUCGGAUCGUAAAGCUCUGUUAUUAGGGAAGAACAAAUGUGUAAGUAACUAUGCACGUCUUGACGGUACCUAAUCAGAAAGCCACGGCUAACUACGUG